GGAUUAGAACCAUUCUGCAUUUGGUUAAUUUUACCAAAAAUAUCAAAAUGCACCUUGAUUUUGCAGAAAGUACACUAUAUGACCAUGUAAUUAUUGUCUUCAGUCACAUGUGAACUACAGGCGCACUGACGUGUUCCCACAAUAGCUAGGUUCUCUAUUUGUGUGCCCAAAACCUAAAGAACUCAGGCACUGCUGUUACCAGCUGCAUGGCUCUUUCCAUUCCACCAUGUUCUAACUGUGUAAGGUCUAUAAAUAGAAUAGUAAUGCUAAGUGCAUCUUACCUCAGGUGCCAUGAGGCUGGAGUUCCCCCCUUUGCUCACCCAGCUGCUGUUGUAGGGCAGCUUUAGGCCCAAACCCUCCUCUGCCAGGCAGCAGCCAAAGUCAGAGAUGACCAGCCUGGGGCAGCCAUCUUAAGAAAAAAACAGAGGAAACAUAGACAAGCAUAAAUUAAGUACAGUUCUGUUUAAAAAUAUAGGUAACAUUUAUACCAGUAGUACAACACAAUCGUAUCUUUAUUUAGGAUAAGCAUGUGGCGCACUGACUGAAGUCUAAUUCCAGGAGGAUGUUGUCUGAUUUGAGGUCUCUGUGUGCGAUGCCCUGUCUGCACAGGUGAUCCACACCUUCUAGCAGCUGCAGCAACAUCAUCGUGGCAUGUCUGUGACCUGGCACACAAACAUCCAGAUCAUCAGGUCCAAAUGAGACUGGAAGGAGCUCCUCCACAGUCAUCUUCUUAAAAGAGCCAUCUGGUUUUGUCAAAUAAACAUCCCACUGCAGGCCAAACUGCAACACAAUAAUAAUCAUUACUGAAGAAAAGGACACAGUACAAGAGCUGACAUUUAAGUCAUGGUUUACUACAGGUACUCUACACAAUAGGACAAGAAAAUAAGCCAUUAUGGAGAGCUUCAAAGAUGCUGUGGAAAGCCAAACAAUGCCCCCAAACAGUUCACAUUGGUAAACUAUUUUUUCUAAAUGAAUAGGUUCAGUAAAUGCUUUUCAUAAUAUAUAAAGGUUUUACCACAACAGCUGUAAACUGUGAAUGGUCUUGAUCUUUUAUUCCUUACUCAUGGUCUUGUUUUGAACAUUAUUGGUGUGGGUCCUGGUCUUGACUUUAUUACAGUCUUUACAACAACACUGGUUAAUUUACCACUGGUUAACCAUUCAUGAAGUGAAAAGAAGGGUUUUUAAUUAACUGACCUCUCUCAUGAACUGUCUGCAGCCACCACAUGGUGAGAUAAAGUUGUCCACCAUGUCACUGUAACAAAAAGAUUUUAAUUAAACAGACAAUGUAAAAUGAACAUGUGAUGUUCAAACAGGUUCAGA
This is a long non-coding RNA of Trichomycterus rosablanca, 1320 nucleotides long. RefSeq lists it as uncharacterized. The transcript has 3 exons. The record is from RefSeq and is a predicted model, not a curated record. NCBI's taxonomy places the organism in Eukaryota, Metazoa, Chordata, Actinopteri, Siluriformes, Trichomycteridae.